This 261-nucleotide ribosomal RNA is filed under the name uncultured bacterium. RNAcentral's name for it is "partial 16S ribosomal RNA". It matches the Rfam family "Bacterial small subunit ribosomal RNA", at positions 524 to 784 of the family's 1533-position model. The record is from RNAcentral.
UACGUAGGGUGCAAGCGUUAAUCGGAAUUACUGGGCGUAAAGCGUGCGCAGGCGGUUUUGUAAGCCAGAUGUGAAAGCCCCGGGCUCAACCUGGGAACUGCGUUUGGAACUACAAGACUAGAGUGUGUCAGAGGGGGGUGGAAUUCCGCGUGUAGCAGUGAAAUGCGUAGGGAUGUGGAGGAAUACCGAUGGCGAAGGCGGCUCUCUGGACCGAUACUGACGCUGAGACGCGAAAGCGUGGGGAGCAAACAGGAUUAGAAA